Molecule: ribosomal RNA, 253 nt
Filed under: uncultured bacterium
Lineage: Bacteria
Description: partial 16S ribosomal RNA
Rfam family: Bacterial small subunit ribosomal RNA
Source: RNAcentral
UACAGAGGGGGCAAGCGUUGUUCGGAAUUACUGGGCGUAAAGUGUGCGCAGGCGGCGCCGCAAGUCGAGUGUGAAAGCCCCGGGCUUAACUUGGGAAUUGCGCUCGAAACUAUGGUGCUGGAGUGUGGCAGAGGAAGGUGGAAUUCCACGUGUAGCGGUGAAAUGCGUAGAGAUGUGGAGGAACACCGAUGGCGAAGGCAGCCUUCUGGGCCAACACUGACGCUCAUGCACGAAAGCAUGGGGAGCAAACAGG